GACGAACGCUGGCGGCGUGCCUAAUACAUGCAAGUUGAGCGCUGAAGGUUGGUACUUGUACCAACUGGAUGAGCAGCGCACGGGUGAGUAACGCGUGGGGAAUCUGCCUUUGAGCGGGGGACAACAUUUGGAAACGAAUGCUAAUACCGCAUAAAAACUUUAAACACAAGUUUUAAGUUUGAAAGAUGCAAUUGCAUCACUCAAAGAUGAUCCCGCGUUGCAUUAGCUAGUUGGUGAGGUAAAGGCUCACCAAGGCGAUGAUACAUAGCCGACCUGAGAGGGUGAUCGGCCACAUUGGGACGGAGACAAGGCCCAAACGCCUACGGGAGGCAGCAGUAGGGAAUCUUCGGCAAUGGACGAAAGUCUGACCGAGCAACGCCGAGUGAGUGAAGAAGGUUGUCGGAUCGUAAAACUCUGUUGGUAGAGAAGAACGUUGGUGAGAGUGGAAAGCUCAUCAAGUGACGGUAACUACCCAGAAAGGGACGGCUAACUACGUG
Molecule: ribosomal RNA, 497 nt
Filed under: uncultured bacterium
Lineage: Bacteria
Description: partial 16S ribosomal RNA
Rfam family: Bacterial small subunit ribosomal RNA
Source: RNAcentral